ACAGCUGACCAUAGGAGAACACCGGUUUAGGCAAAUACACACUAGCAUUAGGGCCUUGUUUAGUUCUGAAUUUUUUUUUGGUUUUUGAUACUGUAACAUUUUUGUUUUUAUUGGCAAAUAUUGUCUAAUCAUGGACUAACUAGGCUCAAAAGAUUCAUCUCGUGAUUUACGGAUAAACUGUGUAAUUAGCUUUUGUUUUCAUCUAUACUUAAUGUUUCAUGCAUGUGCAGCAAGAUUCGAUGUGACGGAGAAUCUUGAAAAGUUUUUAGUUUUUAGGGUGAACUAAACAAGGCCUAGGGAUAGUUUGCCCUUGCGCCUUGUUAAUUGUCAUGGCAAAGCUGAAUCUAAUAGCAAACUGCUUCAUGUUAAAUUGGAACGGAAACAUCUCAUCAUCCAAGGGGCAUAAUGCAAUCCAUGGUAAGAAGAUUCGUUUUCUGGCAUGAUCUCCAACCAUAAUUUCUGCAUCUAUGGUAUUUCUCUAGAACCCUCGAACCACCAGCCUAGUUCCAUCGCAAACUCCAACCGUAGGGUCGAUGUUCUUAGUAAUAUAAUCGGGCACCCAAUCUUGAGCUUUAACACAUGUGGAG
This 587-nucleotide long non-coding RNA is filed under the name Sorghum bicolor (sorghum). Its description in RNAcentral is "long non-coding RNA (SBIC_LNC001055)". Lineage: Eukaryota; Viridiplantae; Streptophyta; Magnoliopsida; Poales; Poaceae. The record is from RNAcentral.